GCCAGUGUGGCAUAGUGGUUUGAGUGUUGGACUACAACUCUGGAGCCCAGGGUUAAAUUCCUGCUAGGCCA
This 71-nucleotide transfer RNA is filed under the name Phrynosoma platyrhinos (Desert horned lizard). Its description in RNAcentral is "tRNA-OTHER". The record is from RNAcentral. Lineage: Eukaryota; Metazoa; Chordata; Lepidosauria; Squamata; Phrynosomatidae.